AUGCUACUACAUGGAUGGAGAAGCUUCCGAUCUCCCUCAAAGGCUUCCUCUAUAAUUGCCUUACAUGAUGGCAUUAGUGGACUCCUUUGGGGAGAUGGAGAGCUUACUCCCCAUAACUCAAUGGCAU
RNAcentral lists this microRNA precursor (127 nucleotides) under Populus trichocarpa (black cottonwood). RNAcentral describes it as "miR477d stem-loop (ptc-MIR477d)". Its record names the gene ptc-MIR477d. The record is from miRBase by way of RNAcentral. Lineage: Eukaryota; Viridiplantae; Streptophyta; Magnoliopsida; Malpighiales; Salicaceae.